CUUUUUAUAUUUUUAUUGUAUUUUUGUUUAUUUUUUAUUUUUUUUGUUUUACUUUAAUAUUCUUUUCUUAUUUUAUUUUUAUUUGGUUUAUUUUUUAUUUCUUUCUUUAUUUAAAUUUUCAUAAAUGUUUAGAAUGUUUUGGAUUUUUUAUUUUUCAUAAAUCAUCUUUUGUCUUUUCAUUUUUAUUAUUUUCUUAAUUUUUUCACAAAUUUCUUUUUAUUUCUUAUUUUCAUUUUCAAAUUCUUAUAGUUUUUUUGUUGCAUUUUCUUCUUUGGUUUUCAUUUUUAUUUUGCAUUAACUUUUCUCUUUUUUAAUCUUUUGUCUUUGAUUUUUUAUAUUGUUUUCUUAUUAUUUCUUAUAUGUUUUUCAAUUUUUUGUAUUUUUUAAAAUAUUUUUUUUCUAUUUUGUCAUUUCCUUUCAUUUUUGAAAUUUUUAUUCAAUUUUUGUCUUUUUUUAUUUUCUUACUUUUUAUAUUUUUUAUUGUAUUUUUGUUUAUUUACAUUUUAUAUUUUUUUCUUAUUUUUAUUUUUUAUUUCUUUCUUUAUUUAUAUU
Molecule: long non-coding RNA, 552 nt
Filed under: Durio zibethinus
Lineage: Eukaryota; Viridiplantae; Streptophyta; Magnoliopsida; Malvales; Malvaceae
Description: long non-coding RNA (DZIB_LNC002045)
Source: RNAcentral